This 445-nucleotide ribosomal RNA is filed under the name uncultured bacterium. RNAcentral describes it as "partial 16S ribosomal RNA". It matches the Rfam family "Bacterial small subunit ribosomal RNA", at positions 354 to 796 of the family's 1533-position model. The record is from RNAcentral.
GUAGGGAAUAUUGGGCAAUGGAUGCAAGUCUGACCCAGCCAUCCCGGGUGCCGGAAGAAGGCCCUCAGGGUUGUAAACGGCUUUUGACGGUGAAGAAUCGACAGGAUGCGUCCUGUUUUGACGGUAGCCGUUGAAUAAGCACCGGCUAACUCCGUGCCAGCAGCCGCGGUAAUACGGAGGGUGCGAGCGUUGUCCGGAUUUAUUGGGUUUAAAGGGUGCGUAGGCUGGAAGGUCAGUCAGCGGUGAAAAGCUGUCGCUUAACGAUAGUCUUGCCGCAGAUACUUCCUUUCUUGGAUGAGGAGGAGGCCACUGGAACGGAUGGUGUAGCGGUGAAAUGCAUAGAUAUCAUCCAGAACACCGAUUGCGAAGGCAGGUGGCUGUACCUUAAUCGACGCUGAUGCACGAAAGCACGGGGAGCAAACAGGAUUAGAAACCCCUGUAGUCC